AGGACUUAGCUGGCUCUGUGAACAGGUCUUGUGUGUCAAUGUUCACAGUGGCUAAGUUCCAC
This 62-nucleotide microRNA precursor is filed under the name Xenopus tropicalis (tropical clawed frog). Its description in RNAcentral is "Xtr-Mir-27-P4_pre stem-loop". The record is from RNAcentral. Lineage: Eukaryota; Metazoa; Chordata; Amphibia; Anura; Pipidae.